RNAcentral lists this ribosomal RNA (484 nucleotides) under uncultured bacterium. RNAcentral's name for it is "partial 16S ribosomal RNA". It matches the Rfam family "Bacterial small subunit ribosomal RNA", at positions 28 to 523 of the family's 1533-position model. The record is from RNAcentral.
GACGAACGCUGGCGGCGUGCUUUACACAUGCAAGUCGAACGAUGAAGCCGGAGCUUGCUCCGGUGAAUUAGUGGCGAACGGGUGAGUAACACGUGAGUAACCUGCCCUUGACUCUGGGAUAACUGCGGGAAACUGUAGCUAAUAACGGAUACGACCCUCGGAGGCAUCUCCUGGGGGUGGAAAGAAUUUCGGUCAAGGAUGGACUCGCGGCCUAUCAGCGAGUUGGUGAGGUGAAGGCUCGCCAAGGCGACGACGGGUAGCCGGCCUGAGAGGGUGACCGGCCACACUGGGACUGAGACACGGCCCAGACUCCUACGGGAGGCAGCAGUGGGGAAUAUUGCACAAUGGGCGAAAGCCUGAUGCAGCAACGCCGCGUGAGGGAUGAAGGCCUUCGGGUUGUAAACCUCUUUUAGCAGGGAAGAAGCGAAAGUGACGGUACCUGCAGAAAAAGCACCGGCUAACUACGUGCCAGCCGCCGCCGUAA